Molecule: ribosomal RNA, 228 nt
Filed under: uncultured bacterium
Lineage: Bacteria
Description: partial 16S ribosomal RNA
Rfam family: Bacterial small subunit ribosomal RNA
Source: RNAcentral
GAUCCUGGCUCAGGACGAACGCUGGCGGCGUGCUUAACACAUGCAAGUCGAACGGAGCACCCUUGAAUGAGACUUCGGUCAAAGGAAAGGAAUGCUUAGUGGCGGACUGGUGAGUAACGCGUGAGGAACCUGCCUUUCAGAGGGGGACAACAGCUGGAAACGGCUGCUAAUACCGCAUGACGCAUUCGGAUGGCAUCAUCUGAAUGCCAAAGAUUUAUCGCUGAAAGA